RNAcentral lists this ribosomal RNA (334 nucleotides) under Mecistogaster modesta. RNAcentral's name for it is "partial 12S ribosomal RNA". The record is from RNAcentral. Lineage: Eukaryota; Metazoa; Arthropoda; Insecta; Odonata; Coenagrionidae.
GUAUUAGAUUAUUCUUGAAAUCCAAAUAAUUUGGCGGUAUUUUAUUCUAUUCAGAGGAACCUGUUCUUUAAUUGAUAAUCCACGAUUUUAUUUACUUAAUCUUGUAUAACAGUUUUUAUAUUUCCGUCAUAAGGAUAUUUUGUUAGGAUAAAUUUUCUUAAUUAUUAAAAGUAAUAAUGUCAGGUCAAAAUGAAACUAAUGUUUAAGUAGAAAUGGGUUACAAUAAAUUUAUUUAUACGAAUUUUUAAUUUUAUAUUUAUUUUGAAGGAGGAUUUGAUAGUAAAUAAAUUUAUUAAAUUUAUUGAUUUAAGCUCUAAAAUAUGUACACAUCGCC